Molecule: small RNA, 546 nt
Filed under: Arabidopsis thaliana (thale cress)
Lineage: Eukaryota; Viridiplantae; Streptophyta; Magnoliopsida; Brassicales; Brassicaceae
Description: ATSL206010
Source: RNAcentral
UGAUAUGUCUAUAAUUUGCAUGAUUUAGGCAUUCAUUCUUCACCACUUUGUCAAUGUUUCAUCCACAAAUCAUCUCAUUAGGAGUCGUUUUAGUGUGUUUUACAUACUUAGGACGAUUUUGCAUUAGGAUUGCAUGUGAAUGGCAUCUUUGGUUGUUUUCAGGUACUUUGGAUGCUUUUGGAGUUCAAACAGAGGAAAAACAGAACAUAAAGUCGGAAUGCCCAAUGACGCUUCGGCAAAAGUACUCUAUCGCAGCCUCGGAGCCCUGCUAGGGCAAAUCACUCUAUCGCAACCCCGGAGAAUCAAGCAGCUCAGUUUCACUCAAUCGCGAAGCCGGAGGAAUCACCCCAUCAGAACCACUCGAUCACCACUCGACCACCAAGAAGCCUAUCUGCUCGUUCUGCACUCAACCAGACAAGCUGAGAACAAAGAAGAGAAGAGAAGCCGAAGAAACCACUCGAUCACCACCUCAUGACAUCCACUCGAUCGCACUCGAUCACAGGGUCGCUGGACCAUUCAAUCUCGACUUCACUACAUCUCACUAGA